RNAcentral lists this unclassified non-coding RNA (280 nucleotides) under fungal sp. Its description in RNAcentral is "partial internal transcribed spacer region". The stretch from base 1 to 46 matches the Rfam family "Eukaryotic small subunit ribosomal RNA", at positions 1786 to 1831 of the family's 1831-position model. The record is from RNAcentral. Lineage: Eukaryota; Fungi.
AAGUCGUAACAAGGUUUCCGUAGGUGAACCUGCGGAAGGAUCAUUAACACGUAUCCAAACGUUAAACCCCCCUGUGAAUUCAGUGUACUCGUACGUCCGUUAGAAAAAGCAGCAAUCCCUGCCGAACAGUUUUCGAUUCAGGGACGUCUGGAGGCCCACACGGCCGACGACCGGGUCACUGGGCGCAAGCCCCCUAUAACAAACGCUGCCAAUCGCGGCCGCGAUAAUACGCAGUCGACAAAAAACCGAACAACUGUUAACAAUGGAUAUCUUGGUUCUC